Molecule: ribosomal RNA, 541 nt
Filed under: Conger oceanicus (American conger)
Lineage: Eukaryota; Metazoa; Chordata; Actinopteri; Anguilliformes; Congridae
Description: partial 16S ribosomal RNA
Rfam family: Bacterial large subunit ribosomal RNA
Source: RNAcentral
UGGUUCAACGGCCGCGGUAUUUUGACCGUGCAAAGGUAGCGUAAUCACCUGUCUUUUAAAUAAAGACCUGUAUGAAUGGCAAGACGAGGGUUUUACUGUCUCCUCCCCCCAGUCAAUGAAAUUGAUCUACCCGUGCAGAAGCGGGUAUAAAAACAUAAGACGGGAAGACCCUAUGGAGCUUUAGGCACCAACCAAAUAUGUAAAAGACCAAACUUCCCAAAAGACCUAAAAACGAGAAAAACAAGUAUUUAUGAUAAAGUGCCUUCGGUUGGGGCGACCACGGGGAAAAACAAAACCCCCACAUGGAAUGGGAAAAAUAACCCUAAGCCAAGAAAAACACUUCUAAGCAACAAAAUUUUUGACCAAUAAACGACCCAGGGGCCCACCCCUGAGCAAUGAACCAAGUUACCCUAGGGAUAACAGCGCAAUCCUUUCCCAGAGCCCAUAUCAACGAAAGGGUUUACGACCUCGAUGUUGGAUCAGGGCAUCCUAACGGUGCAGCGCUGUUAAGGGUUCGUUUGUUCAACGAUUAAUAGCCCUA